Molecule: ribosomal RNA, 264 nt
Filed under: uncultured Lachnospiraceae bacterium
Lineage: Bacteria; Bacillati; Bacillota; Clostridia; Lachnospirales; Lachnospiraceae
Description: partial 16S ribosomal RNA
Rfam family: Bacterial small subunit ribosomal RNA
Source: RNAcentral
AGAAGCUUGAUUGACUGAGUGGCGGACGGGUGAGUAACGCGUGGGAAACCUGCCUUAUACAGGGGGAUAACAGUUAGAAAUGACUGCUAAUACCGCAUAAGCCUGCAGCAUCGCAUGAUGCAGGAGGAAAAGGAGCAAUCCGGUAUAAGAUGGUCCCGCGUCUGAUUAGCUAGUUGGUAAGGUAAUGGCCUACCAAGGCGACGAUCAGUAGCCGACCUGAGAGGGUGACCGGCCACAUUGGGACUGAGACACGGCCCAAACUCC